RNAcentral lists this long non-coding RNA (1855 nucleotides) under Salvia miltiorrhiza (redroot sage). RNAcentral's name for it is "long non-coding RNA (SMIL_LNC000255)". Lineage: Eukaryota; Viridiplantae; Streptophyta; Magnoliopsida; Lamiales; Lamiaceae. The record is from RNAcentral.
CCAUCGAGCCACUAACCUUGUGUACACAAUCCUCAUCUAACGUGUUAGGCCAAAUGAGAAUCUCGAUCGAUGCUUAUGCGAGCAUUAAACAAUACAGAACGCACAUAAAAACAUUUAUAUUGGAUAAACGAACAUUGUCAACUUUCAUGAAAUAUCAGAGCUUAUAUAACUCAAGAUACAUUUGUAAAAUAAAGCCCACCUUGAUUGGACAAAGUCCGAAGUCAAACAUAACUUGUCUCGCAAAAGCAGUGCUAAUCCUCUUGGUCAACUGAGCCUACAAGAUAAUCUAAUCUUAAUAGGUCUCGUGAUACUAAUCUUAGUUAAGAGCAAAGUAAAGCUUCUAAGUUUCAAUUCGUUAUGCCCGGAUUUUAAAACUCACUUUAUAAUAUGAAAAUCAAUUUCUCAGUUAAGGGCACCAAUAAUACCCUUGCUUGACUUUUCAUAAAUCUGAACUGAAAAUGAUAAUGGAAAAAAAAUUAUAAAUGCUACUUAGAAGAGUAAUUAAAAUAAAAGCUCAACUUGUUUAUUAAAACUAAUGCCCAACCAUUUAGAAAAAAAAACCCAAUUCAAUUGAAACUAACCUAAGCCCAAUAAUAAAUAAAUUAGCCUAGGCCCAAACCUCAAGCCCACUCCUUGAGCCCAAAUUCCUUAUCUCUCCCUUAAAUCCCUAAUUUAACACACACACACACACAACUCACGCACCCUCUUCUCGCUCUUUCUCUCUCUCAGCCGCUCACUCCCCACCUCCUCUGCGUCCUCCUGCCGCCGUCACCGGACGGCAGCGCCGUCCCCGGAGGCCGGCGGCUCCGCCUCCUCUCUCCUUCCCUUUGACCUCUCCUUGUCUUCCCUGAUCUCUCACCUCACUCUGAUCCUCUCCUCAACCUCUCUCCCUCUUCCUCAUCUCUCGCCUCCUCCCUUGCCCCUGUCCUCGCCGCACCGGCCACAGCUGCGGCCGCGCCAUUCUCCGCCAGCCGCUGCCUGUUCCUACCCAACACUGCCCUCACCUUCUCCCAUCUGUCCCUCUCUCUCCCUCGCGUACAUCGGACGGCAGACGACCAUGGAAGGCCGUCGCCACUGCUGCUCUGCUCUCGGCCGCGACCAGCGGCGCUUGGCCUUCGGCCGCGCCGCCCCGCUCAGCCGCCUCCCUUCUCCCUCGCGUUACCGGCAGCAGCGACCAAGGAGGGGCCGCUGCCUUGGCUUGCUAUGGCGGCGCACAAGUAGCCCCAAGGGGAACCCUUCCCUCUCUUCGACACUCACACUCAACAAAGCAAACAAAAGGAAAAAUUCUCAGAUUUGUAAAGAUUUGAUUUUUGGUGCAUUGGUCAAGGUAUUUCCUUAAUAGAAACAGUUGGGUAUUUGAAUUUUGUAUGUUAAUCUUUUGUUAUAACUGUUGGUGAUGUUUCCGUAAUAAGGAACAAAUAGAAGGAAAUAGAUGCUGUAUUAAAAUGAAAAUGCAUAGAUUUACAGAGAUAAUUGGGGUUACCAGCUGGAGUUCUGCAAUGAAAAGAGCAUAUUGAGUUUUGUGUGAAAGGAAUCGAGCCGAGAGCAAUUUUUGCUGGAUUCAGUCCACCAUUUUUCGGAAAGUGAAGAAAUAAACAUGAUGAAACAUAAUGAUACUUGACUGAGAAAUAGAAAGAGUUACUAUGUUGAUUGCUUCCUACUGCAGCUUGAGGAAGUGAUUCUGGCGGUGAAAUAGUGUAAGAAAAGUUGGGGUAAUUUAUGAAGGUGGAACGAUUGACGUGGUUGUAACAAAGCCAAAGCUUUUGCUUUUGGGAAUAGAAUAUCAAAUUUGUGAAAAUAUCAAGCAUAGUUAGACUUGGAGAGGAAGGAAAAUAUUUCAGUUUCUCACACUCAC